CAGCCGCCGCGGUAAUGCGAAGGGUGCAAGCGUUACUCGGAAUUACUGGGCGUAAAGCGUGCGUAGGCGGUUUGUUAAGUCUGCUGUGAAAUCCCCGGGCUCAACCUGGGAAUGGCAGUGGAUACUGGCAAGCUAGAGUGUGUCAGAGGAUGGUGGAAUUCCCGGUGUAGCGGUGAAAUGCGUAGAGAUCGGGAGGAACAUCAGUGGCGAAGGCGGCCAUCUGGGACAACACUGACGCUGAGGCACGAAAGCGUGGGGAGCAAACAGGAUUAGAUACCCCGGUAGUCCCUGUCUCUUAUAC
This 301-nucleotide ribosomal RNA is filed under the name uncultured bacterium. RNAcentral's name for it is "partial 16S ribosomal RNA". It matches the Rfam family "Bacterial small subunit ribosomal RNA", at positions 509 to 807 of the family's 1533-position model. The record is from RNAcentral.